Molecule: long non-coding RNA, 116 nt
Organism: Etheostoma cragini (Arkansas darter)
Lineage: Eukaryota; Metazoa; Chordata; Actinopteri; Perciformes; Percidae
Exons: 3
Source: RefSeq, a predicted model, not a curated record
CUCAGUGGUGUGGUAAUGGAUUCACAGAUUUUUCUCGCUGCUCUCCUGCUUCUCUUCGGUUUGGCGACAGUUGCCGCUCAGUCUUCCUCACCUGGCAUAGUGUGUGAGGGGAAGAA